Molecule: unclassified non-coding RNA, 79 nt
Filed under: Algibacter luteus
Lineage: Bacteria; Pseudomonadati; Bacteroidota; Flavobacteriia; Flavobacteriales; Flavobacteriaceae
Description: Arenitalea lutea Flavo-1 RNA
Source: RNAcentral
UUGCAAAAGCGAUAGUAGUGGUUAGCUUUUGGCGAGGCGCGCAUCGAGCCAAAACUAGUAACGAAUAGCGCGGUGGCUU